AUUGAACGCUGGCGGAAUGCUUUACACAUGCAAGUCGAGCGGCAGCGCGGGGCAACCUGGCGGCGAGCGGCGAACGGGUGAGUAAUGCAUCGGAACAUGUCCAUGUCGUGGGGGAUAGCCCGGCGAAAGCCGGAUUAAUACCGCAUAAGCCCGAGAGGGGAAAGUGGGGGACCGCAAGGCCUCACGCGAUUGGGUUGGCCGAUGUCCGAUUAGCUAGUUGGCGGGGUAAGAGCCCACCAAGGCGAUGAUCGGUAGCUGGUCUGAGAGGAUGAUCAGCCACACUGGGACUGAGACACGGCCCAGACUCCUACGGGAGGCAGCAGUGGGGAAUUUUGGACAAUGGGGGCAACCCUGAUCCAGCCAUUCCGCGUGAGUGAAGAAGGCCUUCGGGUUGUAAAGCUCUUUUGUCCGGAACGAAACGGUUACGGUGAAUACCCGUGACUACUGACGGUACCGGAAGAAUAAGCACCGGCUAACUACGUGCCAGCCGCCGCGGUAA
RNAcentral lists this ribosomal RNA (499 nucleotides) under uncultured bacterium. RNAcentral's name for it is "partial 16S ribosomal RNA". It matches the Rfam family "Bacterial small subunit ribosomal RNA", at positions 29 to 523 of the family's 1533-position model. The record is from RNAcentral.